AUGCACGAGCUCCUUGGCCCAUCUUCUGCACAUGUAGCUGUACCGGCAUCGGCUCCUCUUGUUGACACGUCGAUUAUGUACGCGAUGACUGAAGAUGCUCUGCCAGCAACACUUGCUAUUGGAGUGGAAGGAGCUACAGCUGGUGUUCAUGCAAGAUCGUCCGCUAUGUACACUCCAAUUAGAAACAAGAGGCUUUCUGUGUCUAACGUGCAUGAAAGCCCAGAUAUGGCUCCUGCUCCUUUGGUCAUUCAUCCAGAUGCUUAUCUUGUGCCGGACCCUGACUAUGGGUACUCACCUUUCGAGGUAGAGCUGGUACAAGUCCAGUACCCUGAUCACAUAUGUGAUGAAUUCUACGAGAAUGCCAUGUUGCUAUCUUGCUCUGAUGGACUUGGGAGGGUUUGGUUUGAAAGCGUUCGGCCAACUCCGUUGAAGCUAGAUGGUAACAAAAUGAAGAACCAAUACAGUUUGAAUGGAGAGAUGGGUUACAAUGGUAUGGAGGCAUGGGUUCGUGGCUUCAAUGAGAGGGAGAUUAUGAUGAUGGAGAGUGUUGGCCUUCCUCUAUGGAGGGGGAUUGUAUCGCCUGAUGUGUCACUGCACCUUGAGAAUCCAUACACUCGCGAGGCUAUGGUAACUUUGCGUGCUUUACUGUCUUCCCAGAACAUUGGAUUUCAGCUGAGGCUAUGCAGGAUGAUCAUGGCUCCUAUAUCAAUCACUAGGGAGUGGUGCAUGUACGUCUUUGACAUGAAGCUCAAAAGACUCAACGUGCUUGAUCCAGUUUAUACAGAGCACACCAAGCAUCAGUACAGAGACAAGCAUUCAUCCAUAAUUUGCAACAUGCUUAAUGGUUUGAAGCAUGUUGGGGCUAUGCUUGCUGACGGGUGGAACAUGGAUAUCUCGGAUUAG
This 903-nucleotide ribosomal RNA is filed under the name Triticum aestivum (bread wheat). RNAcentral describes it as "partial small subunit ribosomal RNA". The record is from RNAcentral. Lineage: Eukaryota; Viridiplantae; Streptophyta; Magnoliopsida; Poales; Poaceae.